GACGAACGCUGGCGGCGUGCUUAACACAUGCAAGUCGAACGGAAAGGCCCUGCUUUUGUGGGGUGCUCGAGUGGCGAACGGGUGAGUAACACGUGAGUAACCUGCCCUUGACUUUGGGAUAACUUCAGGAAACUGGGGCUAAUACCGGAUAGGAGCUCCUGCUGCAUGGUGGGGGUUGGAAAGUUUCGGCGGUUGGGGAUGGACUCGCGGCUUAUCAGCUUGUUGGUGGGGCAGUGGCUUACCAAGGCUUUGACGGGUAGCCGGCCUGAGAGGGUGACCGGCCACAUUGGGACUGAGAUACGGCCCAGACCCCUACGGGAGGCAGCAGUGGGGAAUAUUGCACAAUGGGCGGAAGCCUGAUGCAGCAACGCCGCGUGCGGGAUGACGGCCUUCGGGUUGUAAACCGCUUUCGCCUGUGACGAAGCGUGAGUGACGGUAAUGGGUAAAGAAGCACCGGCUAACUACGUG
This 468-nucleotide ribosomal RNA is filed under the name uncultured bacterium. Its description in RNAcentral is "partial 16S ribosomal RNA". It matches the Rfam family "Bacterial small subunit ribosomal RNA", at positions 28 to 507 of the family's 1533-position model. The record is from RNAcentral.